GGCCCUGCUCUUGCUGUGAUCCUCCAGACCCUUACUCAGCAGCAGGCUCACUUGGCCGCAGUCUAGCAGUAGAUGUUCGAGAGAAUGCUAUCGAUGUUUCAGACUAUUCAGGACAGACAGGAUACUCUACAGCAGCAGCUUCUGGCAGACCGCCAAGUAAGAAGUGUAGAACAAUUAGCUCAUAAGGACCGCCAUUGUAUAACCAUUCAUCAACAGAUGCAGCUUCCCAAAUUGGGUAAAAAUGCAAUCCGAUCGCCGCAGAAGUAGGAAUAAUAGCACCAGAGAUAAUAUUGUUUCCAUAAAGUAAAGAACCAGAAACAGGCUCACGAAUACCAUCAAUAUCUACUGGAGGAGCAGCGAUGAAGGCGAUAAUAUAUACGGAAGUUGUGGUCAAUAAGGUAGGGAUCAUCAAAACACCAAACCAUCCAAUGUAAAGACGGUUUUCGGUGCUAGUUAUCUAGUUGCAGAAGCGACCCCACAGGCUUGUACUUUCGCGUCUCUCUAAAAUUGCAGUCAUGGUAAGGUCUUGGUUUAUUCAAAUUGCAAGGACUGGGCUGAGAACAGGGCCUUCAUGACUCUCAUGCUUUAGCAUACCGGUGUUCCAAUUCCCCUAGUUCAAUCAGCACCGCCUCCACCUCUUCAGGCUAUUGUUGUGCCAGCCAUUCAGGCAGGACCUCCUCUUCCUACAGUUGGUCCUUCUUCCUCUCCGCUCCGACCAAUCACCCUGGUUUUCUCGUCGUCGGUCAUCAGCUUCGUCAGCACUCAGCCGCCAGUGCCCCCAGCUCCUGCUGUUACCACUACUGUUGUGGCGGUAUCUGUGACCUCUUCAGCUCCGGCAGCUCCUGCAGCAUAGCCUCCGUCCGAGUCAGUACCAGCUCCAGCUUCUAUGGCAGAUCCUGGAUCUGAGACUGACUCUGACCCGCAGCUGGCAUUCGCUCUUCUGCCACGACCACGACCGGAUGCGCCCCCGCCACCUCCUUCCUCUUCUGGUGUGUAGGUUUGAGUUCCCUUUUGGUGUUUGACGCCAAAGGGGGAGAGAUAUGUGAGUUGUGAGAGCUAGGGGAGUUAGGGAGUUAGUAGAGAGUCAUUUUGAUUUAAUAUAUGUGCUCGUUACUCUCUGUACUAGCUCCACUUUUGUAUGAUGAUUUUGGCUCACAAACUCUAUUAUAUACUCUCAAUGCUUAGGUUGACUACGUGUGCAUUAUGUUUUCACAUUAUAUGUUAUCACCAGUCUUCUAGUUCUUGUUCAUCGAUUUGAUUUCACUUUUAUAUGAACAAAACUUACGAUGUGUAUGCGCUCAUUCCUAUUACUAUGUUACACACUCUUUCUGUCAAAGACUAUUGAGUACAACUAACCAUCUUUUCUAUUGACAGAAAUUUCAAAAACAAACUACUCUCACAAACCUUGUAGGGUUAUCAUCAAUCACCAAAAAGAGGGAGAUUGAAAGCAUCUAGGCCCCUCACUACAGGAAACGCAUAAAUUUUCAUGGGCCAAAAACCCACGAAAAUAAGGGUAAACCGACGAAAAAAGUCUAUUUUUGUCGGCAUGCCGACGAAAAUAGCCGCCGAAAAUAAAUUCGACGAAAAUGCACAACUAGGCUUAAGCCAGCUUCGAGCUUCGGAAACCCCAUGCUUCUAGACAUCUCCCGGCAGACGGACAAUUCUUUAUUGUCUGGGAGGCAGUAUAGGAAAUCCUCUUCGUCCGUCCCAUUGAAUACUAGUGCCCCCUUCGGAUAUUUUAAUUCUUUGGCAUAGUGGUUAGCUUCAAAAACUUCUUCUUCCGAUAACUUUUUCCCUGAAGCAUGACGCACAAUAUAAUCGUAUAUUUUGGAAGAUGCUUCGGGGACAGCAGUAUCAAUUUCUUCGACCAAAAUAGGCUCUAACAUUUUUAUUUCUUUAGUCGCCUUUUCAAUUCUUGCUUCUUCUGCUUCCAAAGGUAUUACCUUGGUUGGUUCUGAAGGCUCAGUUUCAACUACAGUCUGUUGCUUUGGAGCCUUAGCAACGGAUACUUCCACAGGCGCCUCUGAAGUUUCAGCAGUCUUCUUUGGAGUUGUGCUUGGAAGUUUAAUUGUCUCCAAAACAUCCAACACAUUGACCAUUCUUUUUUCUUUUUGGGGUCACUGUUGGCCCCUUUUUUCUUGCUACUUCAAUUUCUACUGAAGGACUUAAAAUUUCUGAUAUUUUUGCUCCCUCAGUUGAUGCUUUUGCUUCUUCCAUCUUUUCUGUCGAUGGUGCUUCACCAUCUCUUUGGUUUCUGGUAACAGAAUCUUUGGUUCAUCCAAUUCCUUUGUUGUUGGCGCUUCGGCCAUUCCUGCGACUUCUGGCAGCAGGGUUGGCUCUUCAGCCUCGGUGGCCGGAGAAGUCUCUCCGGUGAAUUCAGGCACCGUGGCUGGUUCAAUAUAGCAUGGCCGAUGUGUGAGAACUUUUAUCCUCUUUCUCUUCGGUGCUGGCUCACUAGGAGCAGCUGCAGCUUUUUCUUUCGCAGAAGUUGUGCCUUUUCUUUUUUGCCCUCGUAUUGGAUAGCGAUAGUCGGGGUAGACGAACCCGAUUGCAUCAAAUACCCGGUUGAGUCUUUUCCUUUUUCGGCCUCCGAAGGCCGCUUACAAAGCAGUAUCUUCGGCCUUCGAGUAUGCCCCAAGCAAUUCAUCACUUACAGUCUCAAUGCUCUUUAACCAAUCAUCAUCUGGUUCAACGAAUUUGUCUCCAUACUUGAAUGUGUACCUUAGCCGGACUAGCCAACCUUCGUCAGUUUCUUUAAUAGUUUCUUUCGGCAUUUCCCAAUUAUCCGCAAGAGGCCACACUCUGAAGGCAAUAUGUUCUUGUGUUAAAUCCCUCGUCCCAAUAAAAGAGCAAACAACUCCGAAGGCUCUCUGGCAUUCUUCGGCUGCUUCAUUCAUUUCCACCUUCGGCCUUCGCAGGCUGAAGCGUUGCCAGAUGGGAUGCAUAAUGAUCUUCUUUACAUCUUCUCGAGAUUUCAAGUCAUUUUUCACGUAAAACCAUUCCGUCAUCCAGUCGCCAGGCCACCUCUUGCGAAAGGUCGGCACUGGGCAGCUUGACCCAGAACGAGAGCCGAAGCUAUAACAGCCAAAGUUGUUGUGAUAUUGUUCCUUACCCCAGGGUUUUGUCUCGUAUAACAAUUCGUGUAUAUUGUAGAAGCUCUUUGCAUCAGGUUCCAAGCCUUGGCUCCUCACAGCCCACACGAAAAUAUUCAUCCUUAUGAUCGCUUCGGGGAUAAGUUGGUGAAGGUGGAUUUCAAAUAUCUUCAGCACCUCCACAACAAAACGGCUCAGGGGAAAUCGUAGUCCAGCUUUCAAGAAGCUUCGAAAUACUACAACUUCAUUUUCCUCAGGAGUUGGGCAAGUCUUCUCUCCCUCGUCGGCCCUUACAAUAGACAAAUCCCGGAAAUAUCUUCCCCUCAUGUUGGCAAGAUGACUUUCUUUAAUACUUGAUUUGCCGAAAACCGCAUGGCUUCGUCGCCAAGGUCGAUCUUCGGAGUCUUCGCCACCACUAUCCGCAUCAUAGCUGUCGCUAUCACCAGUAUCUUCAGAUAAACCUUCCAAAAUUUCUUUAGUGAUCUUCUCUGUAUUAGUCUUCGACAUAGAUUGAAGAAAACCCAGAUGCAUCUCUUCAGAAAGACUCAGCUUCAUUUCGGCAACAACCUUCUUCUCCUCAGACAUCUCUUCGGAAUUCUUGCCUCUCGCUUCCGAAGCUUAAUACUAGGGAGGCAACAAAAUAUUUGUGGCCAGAAAAUUAUUUGAGCAGGCAAAACAGAUGGCAAGGGAGCGUGCCGAAUAAAUUGUGGCGAGCCCGUAUUUACAAACCCAUUAUGUCGGAGACUGGAGGGCCCCAUUUGCCAAUGACUGUUGCUAUUCUAGCAAAAGGAAGGUGUUUUUUCGGACCUUCGGCUUAUAGCCUUCGUCCAUUUCGCAAUCUGAAUUCAUCAUUCUGACAAAUUAAUAUUGCGAGGGGCUACUGUUGGGGGCCUUCGGCUUCCGAAGGUCCUCAAAAACAUGUUUUAACAAUGUUUCUGGAGUAAAGUAUGUUAACAGGUACCUUCGGAUUCGGAUCAGAGCCACGGUACGAAGAAGCACAAAGGUUGGCGCAGAGCCGAAGCUGUGUGUAGAAGAGCUUCGGAGUAGCGGUGGAAAAGGAAACCGACUUAAAGAUGAAAAACCAGAUUAGACCUCGAAGAGUUAUCAUAGAGUUAUUGAUAAAUGUAAAGGGCAUUAUUGUAAUUUUCCAUGGGCUGCGACCCGUGCCUAUAAAUAGGUGAACAGUAUCCCCGUACUGUUCACGCUGAUUCGACAUUGGCUUUGGCAUCACACUUGUGCUUCUACCUUCUUUACGAGCUGAAGGUACACUUAUAAUUUAAUAUUAUCUUUAUCUUUCCAUCAUAAUAAAAUGGAAAUGAUUCGACAACAUUAAACAACUGUUUAUGUUAUCUUCAUGUUUCAUAUGAUCCUUUCUUCAUUAUUAUAUUUUAUGCUGAUGAAGGUAUGUCCUUCAUAACCUUCGCCCGAAAAUCAUUAUAUCCUUAAGGAAAUAAUGCUUAGAAGGACGAAGGAUAUUAAUAUUUAACAUUUUGUGUUGCCUUGUUCUUGAUCCAUAGCAUUUGAGAACAAGUCACCAACAAAUACAGAAUUCACAAACCACAUCCACAAUCAAUACCAUAAUUGUUUCAAACCACAAUCACAUCCAUAAUAAAGUCCAUACAUAGUCCAUAGACAAACUCACUCAUGGCAAGUCUCACUCCUGCGGGCUGUGGGAGUUUUGGCCACUCCCUCCUCCGCCACCAGGAAGGUGGCCACUCCCUCCGGAACCAUGGACGAGGUAGUCUUGGACGUUGACAGCACCCUCCGAUCCCUGAGCAUGUGACACUGAACCCUGCAAUUCAUCAAUCAUUCAAAUAAGGUUGUGUUUUGCUAUCCAUAUACCUAUACAUUGCUAUGUUUGGUCACUAUUUGCAUAAAACUAAACAUGGAACGUCACCUGUGAUCCAUUGUGCUGAGGAGGCUGUGCAUGCAUCCAUGGGUAAUGUUGUGCUGGCCACCCCUGGGGUGGUGGCACCCACCCCGGCGGUGGCGGUGCCAUCCACGCUUGAAGUGGCUGAGAGCCCGGCAGUGGCUGGGAGACCGGUGGCACCCAUCCCGGGGUUGGCUGCGAUCCCUGGGGUGGUGGAGCCGUCCAAGUGCCUGGAGGUGCCUGCGUCCACCCAACACCGGUCCACAGUGGCUGCGACGCUGGAGCUAGCUGAGAUCCCUGGAGUGGUGGCGUAAAUGGCUGCAACUCUGGAGCUUGUCCUGGCCACUGUCCCCAUCCUUGUGCCUGCGAGCCAUUUUUUAUAAUAAAAAAGAGUUGCUAUGGAAUUGAAGUGUUCAGAUAGUGUUACCUGGGGAGGGCAAAAAGCGGGCAAGUUCAUAUCAGGGCCGAGUCGAGAAGUCAUUUCCUGCAAAUGGAUGAAACGUUAGAAUCGCAACAUUAUACUUUGAAUUCAAUAACACGUGAUGAGAUAGAUGAAUUACCUGAAAAUAAGAAGCCAUAUACUGCGUCAGCUGUCCGACCUGCUCCUGCGCUGCUCGAGCUUGCUGCUGUGCUGCUCGAGCCUGCUCCUGUGCUGCUCGAGUCUCCUCCUCCACCUAAGCCUCUCGAGCAGACCUAGAGGAGCGAGAACUCCCUUGACCUAUUGUCCUGUUAUACUCCACAACGCCGGUGCCAAAGGCAAACCUGCAUGAUACACAUAGUUGAGCCAUUAAGUGGACAUAUUCUUGUUAAUGAAAUUGUCGAAUCAAACACAAACACCUCACCUGCCAUGCUUUCUACCCCCACCACUGUGGUACAACGCCGAGGCAUCUAAGUCCGAAUGCAUCCAGUCGAAGUCAGGCCCAUGGCGUUGAAUCAUUUCCUCCCCAUAUGCAUUCUGCAAAGAAAGUUAGAGUUGGAGUUAGACACAAAACAUGCAAUUUAAUUCAUAAAUACAAACUUGUUUACCAUUUUCUCCCUUGCCGCCUCGCUGCAUAGCACAUCAGGGUUCACCGGAUCAGGGCCACGGUGACCACGAACGUAAACCUCCAUAAAACUUGGAGCAACUACACUUUCAGCUUCCUGCAUGAAAAAGAAGAGUUAAACCAUAGAAUUUUCAUAGAUGUAACAUACAAGUUUGAUUUACAUACUUACCAUGCGGCGUGCGGUACCAAGGUGUCCAUCGGCGCCGUACCUGUGCCCCAGUCCUUCAGUGCCACGGUUGGCACGGUGCUUCUGGGACUCUGCAAUCCACUUAGGCGACGCCCAUCUCUUAGCCAACCACCUCCAGGCUUCCAUGUCCUUCGCAAGCCAAUCCACAACGCUCUCCAGGUACUACUCCUCUGUGAGGUAGAUCUCAUUGGCCCCUUUUAUCGAUGUUUCAGACUAUUCAGGACAGACAGGAUACUCUACAGCAGCAGCUUCUGGCAGACCGCCAAGUAAGAAGUGUAGAACAAUUAGCUCAUAAGGACCGCCAUUGUAUAACCAUUCAUCAACAGAUGCAGCUUCCCAAAUUGGGUAAAAAUGCAAUCCGAUCGCCGCAGAAGUAGGAAUAAUAGCACCAGAGAUAAUAUUGUUUCCAUAAAGUAAAGAACCAGAAACAGGCUCACGAAUACCAUCAAUAUCUACUGGAGGAGCAGCGAUGAAGGCGAUAAUAUAUACGGAAGUUGUGGUCAAUAAGGUAGGGAUCAUCAAAACACCAAACCAUCCAAUGUAAAGACGGUUUUCGGUGCUAGUUAUCUAGUUGCAGAAGCGACCCCACAGGCUUGUACUUUCGCGUCUCUCUAAAAUUGCAGUCAUGGUAAGGUCUUGGUUUAUUCAAAUUGCAAGGACUGGGCUGAGAACAGGGCCUUCAUGACUCUCAUGCUUUAGCAUACCGGUGUUCCAAUUCCCCUAGUUCAAUCAGCACCGCCUCCACCUCUUCAGGCUGUUGUUGUGCCAGCCAUUCAGGCAGGACCUCCUCUUCCUACAGUUGGUCCUUCUUCCUCUCCGCUCCGACCGAUCACCCUGGUUUUCUCGUCGUCGGUCAUCAGCUUCGUCAGCACUCAACCGCCAGUGCCCCCAGCUCCUGCUGUUACCACUACUGUUGUGGCGGUAUCUGUGACCUCUUCAGCUCCGGCAGCUCCUGCAGCAUAGCCUCCGUCCGAGUCAGUACCAGCUCCAGCUUCUAUGGCAGAUCCUGGAUCUGAGACUGACUCUGACCCGUAGCUGGCAUUCGCUCUUCUGCCACGACCACGACCGGAUGCGCCCCCGCCACCUCCUUCCUCUUCUGGUGUGUAGGUUUGAGUUCCCUUUUGGUGUUUGACGCCAAAGGGGGAGAGAUAUGUGAGUUGUGAGAGCUAGGGGGAGUUAGGGAGUUAGUAGAGAGUCAUUUUGAUGUAAUAUAUGUGCUCGUUACUCUCUGUACUAGCUCCACUUUUGUAUGAUGAUUUUGGCUCACAAACUCUAUUAUAUACUCUCAAUGCUUAGGUUGACUACGUGUGCAUUAUGUUUUCACAUUAUAUGUUAUCACCAGUCUUCUAGUUCUUGUUCAUCGAUUUGAUUUCACUUUUAUAUGAACAAGAAACUUACGAUGUGUAUGCGCUCAUUCCUAUUACUAUGUUACACACUCUUUCUGUCAAAGACUAUUGAGUACAACUAACCAUCUUUUCUAUUGACAGAAAUUUCAAAAACAAACUACUCUCACAAACCUUGUAGGGUUAUCAUCAAUCACCAAAAAGAGGGAGAUUGAAAGCAUCUAGGCCCCUCACUACAGGAAACGCAUAAAUUUUCAUGGGCCAAAAACCCACGAAAAUAAGGGUAAACCGACGAAAAAAGUCUAUUUUUGUCGGCAUGCCGACGAAAAUAGCCGCCGAAAAUAAAUUCGACGAAAAUGCACAACUAGGCUUAAGCCAGCUUCGAGCUUCGGAAACCCCAUGCUUCUAGACAUCUCCCGGCAGACGGACAAUUCUUUAUUGUCUGGGAGGCAGUAUAGGAAAUCCUCUUCGUCCGUCCCAUUGAAUACUAGUGCCCCCUUCGGAUAUUUUAAUUCUUUGGCAUAGUGAUUAGCUUCAAAAACUUCUUCUUCCAAUAACUUUUUCCCUGAAGCAUGACGCACAAUAUAAUCGUAUAUUUUGGAAGAUGCUUCGGGGACAGCAGUAUCAAUUUCUUCGACCAAAAUAGGCUCUAACAUUUUUAUUUCUUUAGUCGCCUUUUCAAUUCUUGCUUCUUCUGCUUCCAAAGGUAUUACCUUGGUUGGUUCUGAAGGCUCAGUUUCAACUACAGUCUGUUGCUUUGGAGCCUUAGCAACGGAUACUUCCACAGGCGCCUCUGAAGUUUCAGCAGUCUUCUUUGGAGUUGUGCUUGGAAGUUUAAUUGUCUCCAAAACAUCCAACACAUUGACCAUUCUUUUUUCUUUUUGGGGUCACUGUUGGCCCCUUUUUUCUUGCUACUUCAAUUUCUACUGAAGGACUUAAAAUUUCUGAUAUUUUUGCUCCCUCAGUUGAUGCUUUUGCUUCUUCCAUCUUUUCUGUCGAUGGUGCUUCACCAUCUCUUUGGUUUCUGGUAACAGAAUCUUUGGUUCAUCCAAUUCCUUUGUUGUUGGCGCUUCGGCCAUUCCUGCGACUUCUGGCAGCAGGGUUGGCUCUUCAGCCUCGGUGGCCGGAGAAGUCUCUCCGGUGAAUUCAGGCACCGUGGCUGGUUCAAUAUAGCAUGGCCGAUGUGUGAGAACUUUUAUCCUCUUUCUCUUCGGUGCUGGCUCACUAGGAGCAGCUGCAGCUUUUUCUUUCGCAGAAGUUGUGCCUUUUCUUUUUUGCCCUCGUAUUGGAUAGCGAUAGUCGGGGUAGACGAACCCGAUUGCAUCAAAUACCCGGUUGAGUCUUUUCCUUUUUCGGCCUCCGAAGGCCGCUUACAAAGCAGUAUCUUCGGCCUUCGAGUAUGCCCCAAGCAAUUCAUCACUUACAGUCUCAAUGCUCUUUAACCAAUCAUCAUCUGGUUCAACGAAUUUGUCUCCAUACUUGAAUGUGUACCUUAGCCGGACUAGCCAACCUUCGUCAGUUUCUUUAAUAGUUUCUUUCGGCAUUUCCCAAUUAUCCGCAAGAGGCCACACUCUGAAGGCAAUAUGUUCUUGUGUUAAAUCCCUCGUCCCAAUAAAAGAGCAAACAACUCCGAAGGCUCUCUGGCAUUCUUCGGCUGCUUCAUUCAUUUCCACCUUCGGCCUUCGCAGGCUGAAGCGUUGCCAGAUGGGAUGCAUAAUGAUCUUCUUUACAUCUUCUCGAGAUUUCAAGUCAUUUUUCACGUAAAACCAUUCCGUCAUCCAGUCGCCAGGCCACCUCUUGCGAAAGGUCGGCACUGGGCAGCUUGACCCAGAACGAGAGCCGAAGCUAUAACAGCCAAAGUUGUUGUGAUAUUGUUCCUUACCCCAGGGUUUUGUCUCGUAUAACAAUUCGUGUAUAUUGUAGAAGCUCUUUGCAUCAGGUUCCAAGCCUUGGCUCCUCACAGCCCACACGAAAAUAUUCAUCCUUAUGAUCGCUUCGGGGAUAAGUUGGUGAAGGUGGAUUUCAAAUAUCUUCAGCACCUCCACAACAAAACGGCUCAGGGGAAAUCGUAGUCCAGCUUUCAAGAAGCUUCGAAAUACUACAACUUCAUUUUCCUCAGGAGUUGGGCAAGUCUUCUCUCCCUCGUCGGCCCUUACAAUAGACAAAUCCCGGAAAUAUCUUCCCCUCAUGUUGGCAAGAUGACUUUCUUUAAUACUUGAUUUGCCGAAAACCGCAUGGCUUCGUCGCCAAGGUCGAUCUUCGGAGUCUUCGCCACCACUAUCCGCAUCAUAGCUGUCGCUAUCACCAGUAUCUUCAGAUAAACCUUCCAAAAUUUCUUUAGUGAUCUUCUCUGUAUUAGUCUUCGACAUAGAUUGAAGAAAACCCAGAUGCAUCUCUUCAGAAAGACUCAGCUUCAUUUCGGCAACAACCUUCUUCUCCUCAGACAUCUCUUCGGAAUUCUUGCCUCUCGCUUCCGAAGCUUAAUACUAGGGAGGCAACAAAAUAUUUGUGGCCAGAAAAUUAUUUGAGCAGGCAAAACAGAUGGCAAGGGAGUGUGCCGAAUAAAUUGUGGCGAGCCCGUAUUUACAAACCCAUUAUGUCGGAGACUGGAGGGCCCCAUUUGCCAAUGACUGUUGCUAUUCUAGCAAAAGGAAGGUGUUUUUUCGGACCUUCGGCUUAUAGCCUUCGUCCAUUUCGCAAUCUGAAUUCAUCAUUCUGACAAAUUAAUAUUGCGAGGGGCUACUGUUGGGGGCCUUCGGCUUCCGAAGGUCCUCAAAAACAUGUUUUAACAAUGUUUCUGGAGUAAAGUACGUUAACAGGUACCUUCGGAUUCGGAUCAGAGCCACGGUACGAAGAAGCACAAAGGUUGGCGCAGAGCCGAAGCUGUGUGUAGAAGAGCUUCAGAGUAGCGGUGGAAAAGGAAACCGACUUAAAGAUGAAAAACCAGAUUAGACCUCGAAGAGUUAUCAUAGAGUUAUUGAUAAAUGUAAAGGGCAUUAUUGUAAUUUUCCAUGGGCUGCGACCCGUGCCUAUAAAUAGGUGAACAGUAUCCCCGUACUGUUCACGCUGAUUCGACAUUGGCUUUGGCAUCACACUUGUGCUUCUACCUUCUUUACGAGCUGAAGGUACACUUAUAAUUUAAUAUUAUCUUUAUCUUUCCAUCAUAAUAAAAUGGAAAUGAUUCGACAACAUUAAACAACUGUUUAUGUUAUCUUCAUGUUUCAUAUGAUCCUUUCUUCAUUAUUAUAUUUUAUGCUGAUGAAGGUAUGUCCUUCAUAACCUUCGCCCGAAAAUCAUUAUAUCCUUAAGGAAAUAAUGCUUAGAAGGACGAAGGAUAUUAAUAUUUAACAUUUUGUGUUGCCUUGUUCUUGAUCCAUAGCAUUUGAGAACAAGUCACCAACAAAUACAGAAUUCACAAACCACAUCCACAAUCAAUACCAUAAUUGUUUCAAACCACAAUCACAUCCAUAAUAAAGUCCAUACAUAGUCCAUAGACAAACUCACUCAUGGCAAGUCUCACUCCUGCGGGCUGUGGGAGUUUUGGCCACUCCCUCCUCCGCCACCAGGAAGGUGGCCACUCCCUCCGGAACCAUGGACGAGGUAGUCUUGGACGUUGACAGCACCCUCCGAUCCCUGAGCAUGUGACACUGAACCCUGCAAUUCAUCAAUCAUUCAAAUAAGGUUGUGUUUUGCUAUCCAUAUACCUAUACAUUGCUAUGUUUGGUCACUAUUUGCAUAAAACUAAACAUGGAACGUCACCUGUGAUCCAUUGUGCUGAGGAGGCUGUGCAUGCAUCCAUGGGUAAUGUUGUGCUGGCCACCCCUGGGGUGGUGGCACCCACCCCGGCGGUGGCGGUGCCAUCCACGCUUGAAGUGGCUGAGAGCCCGGCAGUGGCUGGGAGACCGGUGGCACCCAUCCCGGGGUUGGCUGCGAUCCCUGGGGUGGUGGAGCCGUCCAAGUGCCUGGAGGUGCCUGCGUCCACCCAACACCGGUCCACAGUGGCUGCGACGCUGGAGCUAGCUGAGAUCCCUGGAGUGGUGGCGUAAAUGGCUGCAACUCUGGAGCUUGUCCUGGCCACUGUCCCCAUCCUUGUGCCUACGAGCCAUUUUUUAUAAUAAAAAAGAGUUGCUAUGGAAUUGAAGUGUUCAGAUAGUGUUACCUGGGGAGGGCAAAAAGCGGGCAAGUUCAUAUCAGGGCCGAGUCGAGAAGUCAUUUCCUGCAAAUGGAUGAAACGUUAGAAUCGCAACAUUAUACUUUGAAUUCAAUAACACGUGAUGAGAUAGAUGAAUUACCUGAAAAUAAGAAGCCAUAUACUGCGUCAGCUGUCCGACCUGCUCCUGCGCUGCUCGAGCUUGCUGCUGUGCUGCUCGAGCCUGCUCCUGUGCUGCUUGAGUCUCCUCCUCCACCUAAGCCUCUCGAGCAGACCUAGAGGAGCGAGAACUCCCUUGACCUAUUGUCCUGUUAUACUCCACAACGCCGGUGCCAAAGGCAAACCUGCAUGAUACACAUAGUUGAGCCAUUAAGUGGACAUAUUCUUGUUAAUGAAAUUGUCGAAUCAAACACAAACACCUCACCUGCCAUGCUUUCUACCCCCACCACUAUGGUACAACGCCGAGGCAUCUAAGUCCGAAUGCAUCCAGUCGAAGUCAGGCCCAUGGCGUUGAGUCAUUUCCUCCCCAUAUGCAUUCUGCAAAGAAAGUUAGAGUUGGAGUUAGACACAAAACAUGCAAUUUAAUUCAUAAAUACAAACUUGUUUACCAUUUUCUCCCUUGCCGCCUCGCUGCAUAGCACAUCAGGGUUCACCGGAUCAGGGCCACGGUGACCACGAACGUAAACCUCCAUAAAACUUGGAGCAACUACACUUUCAGCUUCCUGCAUGAAAAAGAAGAGUUAAACCAUAGAAUUUUCAUAGAUGUAACAUACAAGUUUGAUUUACAUACUUACCAUGCGGCGUGCGGUACCAAGGUGUCCAUCGGCGCCGUACCUGUGCCCCGGUCCUUCAGUGCCACGGUUGGCACGGUGCUUCUGGGACUCUGCAAUCCACUUAGGCGACGCCCAUCUCUUAGCCAACCACCUCCAGGCUUCCAUGUCCUUCGCAAGCCAAUCCACAACGCUCUCCAGGUACUACUCCUCUGUGAGGUAGAUCUCAUUGGCCCCUUUUAUCGAUGUUUCAGACUAUUCAGGACAGACAGGAUACUCUACAGCAGCAGCUUCUGGCAGACCGCCAAGUAAGAAGUGUAGAACAAUUAGCUCAUAAGGACCGCCAUUGUAUAACCAUUCAUCAACAGAUGCAGCUUCCCAAAUUGGGUAAAAAUGCAAUCCGAUCGCCGCAGAAGUAGGAAUAAUAGCAUCAGAGAUAAUAUUGUUUCCAUAAAGUAAAGAACCAGAAACAGGCUCACGAAUACCAUCAAUAUCUACUGGAGGAGCAGCGAUGAAGGCGAUAAUAUAUACGGAAGUUGUGGUCAAUAAGGUAGGGAUCAUCAAAACACCAAACCAUCCAAUGUAAAGACGGUUUUCGGUGCUAGUUAUCCAGUUGCAGAAGCGACCCCACAGGCUUGUACUUUCGCGUCUCUCUAAAAUUGCAGUCAUGGUAAGGUCUUGGUUUAUUCAAAUUGCAAGGACUGGGCUGAGAACAGGGCCUUCAUGACUCUCAUGCUUUAGCAUACCGGUGUUCCAAUUCCCCUAGUUCAAUCAGCACC
Molecule: long non-coding RNA, 13234 nt
Filed under: Zea mays
Lineage: Eukaryota; Viridiplantae; Streptophyta; Magnoliopsida; Poales; Poaceae
Description: long non-coding RNA (ZMAY_LNC001542)
Source: RNAcentral